This 253-nucleotide ribosomal RNA is filed under the name uncultured bacterium. RNAcentral's name for it is "partial 16S ribosomal RNA". It matches the Rfam family "Bacterial small subunit ribosomal RNA", at positions 524 to 776 of the family's 1533-position model. The record is from RNAcentral.
UACGUAGGGGGCUAGCGUUGUCCGGAUUUAUUGGGCGUAAAGAGCGUGUAGGCGGCCAUGUAGGUCAGCUGUGAAAACUCGAGGCUCAACCUCGAGACGUCGGUUGAAACCACCUGGCUAGAGUCCGGAAGAGGAGAGUGGAAUUCCCGGUGUAGCGGUGAAAUGCGCAGAUAUCGGGAAGAACACCCGUGGCGAAGGCGGCUCUCUGGGACGGUACUGACGCUGAGACGCGAAAGCGUGGGGAGCGAACAGG